GAUGAACGCUGGCGGCGUGCCUAAUACAUGCAAGUCGAGCGAACAGACGAGGAGCUUGCUCCUCUGACGUUAGCGGCGGACGGGUGAGUAACACGUGGAUAACCUACCUAUAAGACUGGGAUAACUUCGGGAAACCGGAGCUAAUACCGGAUAAUAUAUUGAACCGCAUGGUUCAAUAGUGAAAGACGGUUUUGCUGUCACUUAUAGAUGGAUCCGCGCCGCAUUAGCUAGUUGGUAAGGUAACGGCUUACCAAGGCAACGAUGCGUAGCCGACCUGAGAGGGUGAUCGGCCACACUGGAACUGAGACACGGUCCAGACUCCUACGGGAGGCAGCAGUAGGGAAUCUUCCGCAAAGGGCGAAAGCCUGACGGAGCAACGCCGCGUGAGUGAUGAAGGUCUUCGGAUCGUAAAACUCUGUUAAUAGGGAAGAACAAAUGUGUAAGUAACUAUGCACGUCUUGACGGUACCUAAUCAGAAAGCCACGGCUAACUACGUG
Molecule: ribosomal RNA, 497 nt
Filed under: uncultured bacterium
Lineage: Bacteria
Description: partial 16S ribosomal RNA
Rfam family: Bacterial small subunit ribosomal RNA
Source: RNAcentral